CUAAGCGCGAAGCCAACUUCAAGAUAAGAUUUCCCACCGCAAGGGUAAGACCCCAGAAAGACUAUCUGGGUGAUAGGUCGAAGGUGUAAGUGCAGCAAUGUAUUUAGCUUAUCGAUACUAAUAGGUCGAGGACUUGACCAA
This 141-nucleotide ribosomal RNA is filed under the name Clostridioides difficile. Its description in RNAcentral is "partial 23S ribosomal RNA". It matches the Rfam family "Bacterial large subunit ribosomal RNA", at positions 2781 to 2925 of the family's 2925-position model. Lineage: Bacteria; Bacillati; Bacillota; Clostridia; Peptostreptococcales; Peptostreptococcaceae. The record is from RNAcentral.